Long non-coding RNA from Daucus carota subsp. sativus, 925 nucleotides. RefSeq lists it as uncharacterized. NCBI's taxonomy places the organism in Eukaryota, Viridiplantae, Streptophyta, Magnoliopsida, Apiales, Apiaceae. The transcript is spliced from 3 exons. The record is from RefSeq and is a predicted model, not a curated record.
AAAAGUAAUUUAUUAGCAAUCCUGAGUUGUAACUCUCUCUCUCUCAAUUUGAUGGUUCGAGUUAGGAAAUCAGAGCAUCUUAACUAGGGCUCGAGCUUCAAAAUUAGAGGUAAUGAUAGCUAGGGAUUACUUCAAAAUUAGUUCUUUGUAAAAAUCACAAAGAGGUAAUGUGGCUUUUUAUAUUAGUUAUUUUUAACUAGUUUUAAUGCAUAUUCAAGUGUAUUUCUUUUAUGAGCUUGUUUUAUGCUCAAAUAUUGCCCAAAAGGUAGCUACUUUGGUUUGUAUUUGAGCGUGUGUAUAUAUUAAUCAUUUCCUUGACGUGCUUAGUUGGCUGGAAAGUAUGUGAAAGAUGAAGUCUGGCAUGCACUUAUCGUUGUAAUCAGCAAUGCUUCUUAUCUUCAUGGUUACGCCGUAAGAUUACUAUACAGAAUAGUCCAAAAGUCAAUUGAGAGGUAUAUAAUAUGUCGGAGUUUGUUCGACUGGAACUUGACAUGCCAGAAUUAUUAAUUUUUUAUUUCUGUACGUACUAAAAGGGCAAUUCUUUAUGUCAAUCGAGAAGUUAUUGCGCAAGUGGAUGUAUGGUGUAUUGGAGGAUAUGGUGAUAUGUUGGUGAACAUUGUUGGAACACUAGCCAUAGAGGAACCAAUAACUCAGCAGAAUUGAGGAAAGCAGAAGAGUAAUGCUAGAAAUUGAGGAACUUGGUGUUUCUAUCCGUCAUGAUUUGCACCAACAGCACCAGUCUCUCAUGCAUACCAACAACACGGAGGAGAUGAUCGAGAAAAAAGAUUGUGAUAGGGUGACAAAGGUAAUUUGCAAAUUGAGAGAGGUAAAUCCUUAUUUCAAUGACAUCAAUGUUGAAGCAUUGUUGCGUGCUACUGGGGAUGAACUUGACAAAGAGUAGGAUGAGAAUGCAGCUGCUCAAUAA